GGAGGGCUGGCUGAGUGGUUGAAAGCACCGGUCUUGAAAACCGGCAGGGGUCUACGCCCCUCCAGGGUUCGAAUCCCUGGCCCUCCACCA
RNAcentral lists this transfer RNA (90 nucleotides) under Thiohalospira halophila DSM 15071. RNAcentral's name for it is "tRNA_Ser_TGA". It matches the Rfam family "tRNA". From Rfam's summary of the family: Transfer RNA (tRNA) molecules are approximately 80 nucleotides in length. Their secondary structure includes four short double-helical elements and three loops (D, anti-codon, and T loops). The record is from RNAcentral. Lineage: Bacteria; Pseudomonadati; Pseudomonadota; Gammaproteobacteria; Thiohalospirales; Thiohalospiraceae.